This is a non-coding RNA of Cinara cedri, 925 nucleotides long. NCBI's taxonomy places the organism in Eukaryota, Metazoa, Arthropoda, Insecta, Hemiptera, Aphididae. The record is from the annotation of a GenBank genome assembly.
CCUAAUGUGUGAUUUUUUUAUUAUGGCCCAGUUUUUAUCUGAAUAUGUAUUUUUAUUUUAUUUCUGAAAACAAAACGAAAUUGCUUAUUGUCACUUACUAUAUUGUUGCAUUAAUUUCAUAAUUUGUAUCGAUGAUUUGAGUAACGUUUAUGAUGUUAUAUCAGUAACCGAUAUAGAAUAAUUUAUGAAAAUUUGUAAGUAUUUAUCGAAUAUCGAACCAACACUGCCAAAUGUUUAUUAUUUAUUACUUAUUAGAAUUUGAAAUUUAGAAAGCGGAACGCGGAAAGCUGAUAUAGUAAAAAAAUAUUCCUGUGUAACUUCGAUUCUUGUAUCUUAACUUUAAAUGUUAAUAAAUAAUAAAAUAUCUUUUGGUUUAAUAAUUGAUAACUAUACAAACUAAUUGUAUGCAAUAUUAUAUUGAGAAAUAAAACCAUGAGCUGUUUAAAAUUCCAUAGUAGUAGAGUAUUAUGAAUGAGUUAUAGGUACCUAGAUUUUAUUAUUUUUUAUUGAAAUGACUUCAAAUUUGUUUAAAAAUUAAUAAUUAUAAUUAUAAACAUUGAAUGGGAAAAUUAGUAAAAACACGGGGAUAAGACCGAUAUGUAAGAAAAAUAAUACAACAAAUAAUUAUAUUCACACUAACCAAAAAGCAUUAAUUGAAAAACAAUCAAAUUUUUUAGUUGAAAAUUGUGUUAUCUAAUUUAACUCUAACAUUUUAGUUCGUUCAGUGCACAGCCUUGACAAAUAACAAUACUAUGAACUGCACUAAUACAAUAUAAUAUUAUGUUGCAGGUCAGUACCUUUAAGUUAGUUUCUAUGAUAUCGGUUUUGUAUAUAUAAUUUAGUGUAGGUACAAAUUGAAGAUAAAACUUUUCGAUAUUCUGAAAUACGCGUGUUGUAAUAUUAAUUAUUAUUUUUUUUUUCUUUA